UACGAAGGGGGCUAGCGUUGCUCGGAAUCACUGGGCGUAAAGGGCGCGUAGGCGGCCAUUCAAGUCAGAGGUGAAAGCCCAAGGCUCAACCUUGGAACUGCCUUUGAUACUGUUUGGCUUGAGACCGGUAGAGGUAAGUGGAACUGCGAGUGUAGAGGUGAAAUUCGUAGAUAUUCGCAAGAACACCAGUGGCGAAGGCGGCUCACUGGCCCGGUACUGACGCUGAGGUGCGAAAGCGUGGGGAGCAAACAGG
Molecule: ribosomal RNA, 253 nt
Filed under: uncultured bacterium
Lineage: Bacteria
Description: partial 16S ribosomal RNA
Rfam family: Bacterial small subunit ribosomal RNA
Source: RNAcentral